Molecule: ribosomal RNA, 490 nt
Filed under: Cellulomonas hominis
Lineage: Bacteria; Bacillati; Actinomycetota; Actinomycetes; Micrococcales; Cellulomonadaceae
Description: bacterial SSU rRNA
Rfam family: Bacterial small subunit ribosomal RNA
Source: RNAcentral
GGCGCAAGCCUGAUGCAGCGACGCCGCGUGAGGGAUGAAGGCCUUCGGGUUGUAAACCUCUUUCAGCAGGGAAGAAGCGCAAGUGACGGUACCUGCAGAAGAAGCGCCGGCUAACUACGUGCCAGCAGCCGCGGUAAUACGUAGGGCGCAAGCGUUGUCCGGAAUUAUUGGGCGUAAAGAGCUCGUAGGCGGUUUGUCGCGUCUGCUGUGAAAACUCGAGGCUCAACCUCGGGCUUGCAGUGGGUACGGGCAGACUAGAGUGCGGUAGGGGAGACUGGAAUUCCUGGUGUAGCGGUGGAAUGCGCAGAUAUCAGGAGGAACACCGAUGGCGAAGGCAGGUCUCUGGGCCGCAACUGACGCUGAGGAGCGAAAGCAUGGGGAGCGAACAGGAUUAGAUACCCUGGUAGUCCAUGCCGUAAACGUUGGGCACUAGGUGUGGGGCUCAUUCCACGAGUUCCGUGCCGCAGCAAACGCAUUAAGUGCCCCGCCU